This is a long non-coding RNA of Myotis brandtii (Brandt's bat), 161 nucleotides long. RefSeq lists it as uncharacterized. The record is from RefSeq and is a predicted model, not a curated record. NCBI's taxonomy places the organism in Eukaryota, Metazoa, Chordata, Mammalia, Chiroptera, Vespertilionidae. The transcript is spliced from 2 exons.
AGGGGAAGGGAGCUGCGGCCUGGACUUGCCACCACUGACCCUGGAGAGAAGCUAUACUUGUUUAUUUUCCCUUAAGUUAUUUUUAUAUGGUAGCUUUUUCUACAUCUUACUCCUGUUGAUGCAGCUAAGUAUUGGUAAGAAUAAAGGAGUAUUUGAAACCA